RNAcentral lists this ribosomal RNA (618 nucleotides) under uncultured bacterium. Its description in RNAcentral is "bacterial SSU rRNA". The stretch from base 1 to 519 matches the Rfam family "Bacterial small subunit ribosomal RNA", at positions 338 to 873 of the family's 1533-position model. The record is from RNAcentral.
CCUACGGGAGGCAGCAGUGGGGAAUAUUGGACAAUGGGCGCAAGCCUGAUCCAGCAAUGCCGCGUGAGUGAUGAAGGCCUUAGGGUCGUAAAGCUCUUUUACCAGGGAUGAUAAUGACAGUACCUGGAGAAUAAGCUCCGGCUAACUCCGUGCCAGCAGCCGCGGUAAUACGGAGGGAGCUAGCGUUGUUCGGAAUUACUGGGCGUAAAGCGUACGUAGGCGGUUAUUCAAGUCAGAGGUGAAAGCCCGGGGCUCAACCCCGGAACGGCCUUUGAAACUAGGUAGCUAGAAUCUUGGAGAGGUCAGUGGAAUUCCGAGUGUAGAGGUGAAAUUCGUAGAUAUUCGGAAGAACACCAGUGGCGAAGGCGACUGACUGGACAAGUAUUGACGCUGAGGUACGAAAGCGUGGGGAGCAAACAGGAUUAGAUACCCUGGUAGUCCACGCCGUAAACGAUGAUAACUAGCUGUCCGGGCACUUGGUGCCUGGGUGGCGCAGCUACGACAUUAAGUUAUUCCGUCCGUCGGGGUAGGUACGGUCGCGAAGAAUUAAAACGUUAAAAGGUAAAGUUAGUACGGCGUGAGACGUCGCCGAACGGACGACCGACGAGGGGAGGUAGG